UGAGGAAUAUUGGUCAAUGGACGGAAGUCUGAACCAGCCAAGUAGCGUGCAGGAUGACGGCCCUAUGGGUUGUAAACUGCUUUUGUAUGGGGAUAAAGUUAGGGACGUGUCCCUAUUUGCAGGUACCAUACGAAUAAGGACCGGCUAAUUCCGUGCCAGCAGCCGCGGUAAUACGGAAGGUCCAGGCGUUAUCCGGAUUUAUUGGGUUUAAAGGGAGCGUAGGCUGGAGAUUAAGUGUGUUGUGAAAUGUAGACGCUCAACGUCUGAAUUGCGGCGCAUACUGGUUUCCUUGAGUACGCACAACGUUGGCGGAAUUCGUCGUGUAGCGGUGAAAUGCUUAGAUAUGACGAAGAACUCCGAUUGCGAAGGCAGCUGACGGGAGCGCAACUGACGCUUAAGCUCGAAGGUGCGGGUAUCAAACAGGAUUAGAUACCCUGGUAGUCCGCACAGUAAACGAUGGAUGCCCGCUGUUGGUACCUGGUAUCAGCGGCUAAGCGAAAGCAUUAAGCAUCCCACCUGGGGAGUACGCCGGCGGU
This 536-nucleotide ribosomal RNA is filed under the name uncultured bacterium. Its description in RNAcentral is "bacterial SSU rRNA". It matches the Rfam family "Bacterial small subunit ribosomal RNA", at positions 355 to 895 of the family's 1533-position model. The record is from RNAcentral.